This 273-nucleotide ribosomal RNA is filed under the name uncultured bacterium. Its description in RNAcentral is "partial 16S ribosomal RNA". It matches the Rfam family "Bacterial small subunit ribosomal RNA", at positions 524 to 796 of the family's 1533-position model. The record is from RNAcentral.
UACGGAGGGAGCAAGCGUUAUUCGGAAUCACUGGGCGUAAAGGACGCGUAGGCGGGUUUGUAAGUCAGGUGUGAAAUCCUACAGCUCAACUGUAGAACUGCACUUGAAACUACAGACCUAGAGUAUGGAAGGGGCAGAUGGAAUUAGUGGUGUAGGGGUAAAAUCCGUAGAUAUCACUAGGAAUACCGAAAGCGAAGGCGAUCUGCUGGGACAUUACUGACGCUGAGGCGUGAAAGCGUGGGGAGCAAACAGGAUUAGAUACCCUAGUAGUCC